This 27-nucleotide non-coding RNA is filed under the name Rattus norvegicus (Norway rat). Lineage: Eukaryota; Metazoa; Chordata; Mammalia; Rodentia; Muridae. The record is from RNAcentral.
UUAUGGAAAUGACUGUUGGCAACAAUG